This 250-nucleotide ribosomal RNA is filed under the name uncultured bacterium. RNAcentral's name for it is "partial 16S ribosomal RNA". It matches the Rfam family "Bacterial small subunit ribosomal RNA", at positions 102 to 353 of the family's 1533-position model. The record is from RNAcentral.
ACGGGUGAGUAAUGUCUGGGAAACUGCCUGAUGGAGGGGGAUAACUACUGGAAACGGUAGCUAAUACCGCAUAACGUCGCAAGACCGAAGAGGGGGACCUUCGGGCCUCUUGCCAUCAGAUGUGCCCAGAUGGGAUUAGCUAGUAGGUGGGGUAACGGCUCACCUAGGCGACGAUCCCUAGCUGGUCUGAGAGGAUGACCAGCCACACUGGAACUGAGACACGGUCCAGACUCCUACGGGAGGCAGCAUG